Molecule: unclassified non-coding RNA, 145 nt
Filed under: soil metagenome
Description: partial internal transcribed spacer 1
Source: RNAcentral
UAAUAAGUGUUUUAUGGCACUUUUUAAAUCCAUAUCCACCUUGUGUGCAAUGUCAGUCGAUCUUCUUCAUGGUGAUCGACCAAACAUCAACCUUUAUCUUUUAACUCUUUGUCUGAAAAAUAUUAUGAAUAAACAAUUCAAAAUA